CAUCCCGACUUACCAAACCGAUGCAAACUCCGAAUACCUAUGAGUACUAUCCGGGAGACAGACUGCGGGUGCUAACGUCCGUAGUCAAGAGGAAAACAAUCCAGACCGCCAGCUAAGGCCCCAAAAUCAUAGUUAAGUGGGAAACGAUGUGGGAAGGCAUAGACAGCUAGGAGGUUGGCUUAGAAGCAGCCACCCUUUAAAGAAAGCGUAAUAGCUCACUAGUCGAGUCGGCCUGCGCGGAAGAUGUAACGGGGCUAAAACUAUGUGCCGAAGCUGCGGAUGUAUACUUUGUAUACGUGGUAGGGGAGCGUUCUGUAAGCCGAUGAAGGUGUGUUGAGAAGCAUGCUGGAGGUAUCAGAAGUGCGAAUGCUGACGUGAGUAACGACAAAACGGGUGAAAAACCCGUUCGCCGAAAGACCAAGGGUUCCAGUCCAACGUUAAUCGGGGCUGGGUGAGUCGACCCCUAAGGCGAGGCCGAAAGGCGUAGUCGAUGGGAAAAUGGUUAAUAUUCCAUUACUUCUGUGUAAUGCGAUGAGAGGACGGAGAAGGCUAAAUCAGCCUGGCGUUGGUUGUCCAGGUGAAAGGAUGUAGGCAUGUAUCUUAGGCAAAUCCGGGGUACUCUAUGCUGAGAUCUGAUAGCAAGCUGUACUUGUACAGCGAAGUGGUUGAUGCCAUGCUUCCAGGAAAAGUCUCUAAGCUUCAGUUACACAGGAAUCGUACCCGAAACCGACACAGGUGGUCAGGUCGAGUAGACCAAGGCGCUUGAGAGAACUCUGCUGAAGGAACUAGGCAAAAUGGUACCGUAACUUCGGGAGAAGGUACGCUGUUGUUGGUGAUGGAACUCGCUUCCUGAGCUGACGACAGCCGCAGAAACCAGGCCGCUGCAACUGUUUAUUAAAAACAUAGCACUCUGCAAACACGAAAGUGGACGUAUAGGGUGUGAUGCCUGCCCGGUGCUGGAAGGUUAAUUGAUGGGGUUAGCGUAAGCGAAGCUCUUGAUCGAAGCCCCAGUAAACGGCGGCCGUAACUAUAACGGUCCUAAGGUAGCGAAAUUCCUUGUCGGGUAAGUUCCGACCUGCACGAAUGGCAUAAUGAUGGCGGCGCUGUCUCCAGCAGAGGCUCAGUGAAAUCGAAAUCGCUGUGAAGAUGCAGUGUACCCGCGGCUAGACGGAAAGACCCCGUGAACCUUUACUGCAGCUUGACACUGAACUUUGACCUUACUUGUGUAGGAUAGGUGGGAGGCUUUGAAGCUGGAACGCUAGUUCCAGUGGAGCCGUCCUUGAAAUACCACCCUGGUAAUGUUGAGGUUCUAACUCUGUCCCGUGAUCCGGGACGAGGACCGUGUCUGGUGGGUAGUUUGACUGGGGCGGUCUCCUCCUAAAGAGUAACGGAGGAGUACGAAGGUGCGCUCAGCGUGGUCGGAAAUCACGCGUAGAGUAUAAAGGCAAAAGCGCGCUUAACUGCGAGACCCACAAGUCGAGCAGGUACGAAAGUAGGUCUUAGUGAUCCGGUGGUUCUGUAUGGAAGGGCCAUCGCUCAACGGAUAAAAGGUACUCUGGGGAUAACAGGCUGAUACCGCCCAAGAGUUCAUAUCGACGGCGGUGUUUGGCACCUCGAUGUCGGCUCAUCUCAUCCUGGGGCUGAAGCAGGUCCCAAGGGUAUGGCUGUUCGCCAUUUAAAGAGGUACGCGAGCUGGGUUUAGAACGUCGUGAGACAGUUCGGUCCCUAUCUACCGUGGGCGCUGGAAAUUUGAGAGGAUCUGCUCCUAGUACGAGAGGACCAGAGUGGACGAACCUCUGGUGUACCGGUUGUGACGCCAGUCGCAUCGCCGGGUAGCUAUGUUCGGAAGGGAUAACCGCUGAAAGCAUCUAAGCGGGAAGCCUACCUCAAGAUAAGAUUUCCCUAGGACUUUAUGUCCUCUAAAGAGCCGUUCGAGACUAGGACGUUGAUAGGUUGGAUGUGGAAGCAUAGUGAUAUGUGAAGCUGACCAAUACUAAUUGCUCGUGAGGCUUGACUAU
Molecule: ribosomal RNA, 2018 nt
Filed under: Acinetobacter baumannii AB_1583-8
Lineage: Bacteria; Pseudomonadati; Pseudomonadota; Gammaproteobacteria; Moraxellales; Moraxellaceae
Description: bacterial LSU rRNA
Rfam family: Bacterial large subunit ribosomal RNA
Source: RNAcentral